This 536-nucleotide ribosomal RNA is filed under the name uncultured bacterium. RNAcentral's name for it is "bacterial SSU rRNA". It matches the Rfam family "Bacterial small subunit ribosomal RNA", at positions 934 to 1482 of the family's 1533-position model. The record is from RNAcentral.
GGAACAUGUGGUUUAAUUCGAUGAUACGCGAGGAACCUUACCCGGGCUCGAACGGUGCAGGAAGAUCUAGAGAUAGUGACGCCCUUCGGGGCCUGUGUGGAGGUGCUGCAUGGUUGUCGUCAGCUCGUGCCGUGAGGUGUCGGCUUAAGUGCCAUAACGAGCGCAACCCUUCUCGCGAGUUACCAUCAGGUGAUGCUGGGGACUCUCGCGACACUGCCACCGUAAGGUGUGAGGAAGGUGGGGAUGACGUCAAAUCAGCACGGCCCUUACGUCCGGGGCUACACACGUGCUACAAUGGCGCGCACAGAAGGCAGCGACCCUGCGAGGGGGAGCGAAUCCCGAAAGCGCGUCUCAGUUCGGAUCGGAGUCUGCAACCCGACUCUGUGAAGUUGGAUUCGCUAGUAAUCGCGCAUCAGCCAUGACGCGGUGAAUACGUUCCCGGGCCUUGUACACACCGCCCGUCAAGCCAUGGAAGAUGGUGGUACCUGAAGUCUGGUGUAAGCAGCCGGCCUAGGGUAAAACUGUUAACUGGGGCU